RNAcentral lists this ribosomal RNA (510 nucleotides) under uncultured bacterium. RNAcentral describes it as "partial 16S ribosomal RNA". It matches the Rfam family "Bacterial small subunit ribosomal RNA", at positions 28 to 507 of the family's 1533-position model. The record is from RNAcentral.
GACGAACGCUGGCGGCGUGCUUAACACAUGCAAGUCGAACGAAGAGCGAUGGAAGCUUGCUUCUAUCAAUCUUAGUGGCGAACGGGUGAGUAACGCGUAAUCAACCUGCCCUUCAGAGGGGGACAACAGUUGGAAACGACUGCUAAUACCGCAUACGAUCUAAUCUCGGCAUCGAGGAUAGAUGAAAGGUGGCCUCUACAUGUAAGCUAUCACUGAAGGAGGGGAUUGCGUCUGAUUAGCUAGUUGGAGGGGUAACGGCCCACCAAGGCGAUGAUCAGUAGCCGGUCUGAGAGGAUGAACGGCCACAUUGGGACUGAGACACGGCCCAGACUCCUACGGGAGGCAGCAGUGGGGAAUCUUCCGCAAUGGACGAAAGUCUGACGGAGCAACGCCGCGUGAGUGAUGACGGCCUUCGGGUUGUAAAGCUCUGUUAAUCGGGACGAAAGGCCUUCUUGCGAAUAGUGAGAAGGAUUGACGGUAUCGGAAUAGAAAGCCACGGCUAACUACGUG